GAGAAAAAUUAAAUGAAAAUUCAGAACUCACUUUUUAUUAAAAGAAUGAAAGCAAACAGUGGUUGAAUUAUGAUCAUGAAGAAAGAAAAGAAUAUACUCUGAUGCGGAACAUGUAAGAAGAGUUUGUAUCAUGCAUUUUCUUGGCGGGAGGGAGUGAAAUGUAAGGCCCCUGCUGGAGAUAUUAGAUGGCAUAACAAGUAAAGAGGAACCUAAACAUGACAACAGUCUAUAAAUUAUACAAAAAGAAAUCCGCAGUACAAUUCCUUUCUGUGUACACAUUGCUCACUUUCUGUG
Molecule: long non-coding RNA, 294 nt
Organism: Perognathus longimembris pacificus (Pacific pocket mouse)
Lineage: Eukaryota; Metazoa; Chordata; Mammalia; Rodentia; Heteromyidae
Exons: 3
Source: RefSeq, a predicted model, not a curated record